CGCAGACAACCAGGAGGUUGGCUUAGAAGCAGCCACCCUUGAAAGAGUGCGUAAUAGCUCACUGGUCGAUGCGCUGCGGCGCCGACAAUCCACCGGGGCUCAAGCAUGUCACCGAAGCUGCGGAUGUCGUUCUUGAACGACGUGGUAGGGGAGCGUCGUGGUCAGCAGAGAAGGGGGCGCGUGAGCAAACCUGGAGCGGCCACGAGUGCGAAUGUUGGCAUGAGUAGCGCGAGGGGAGUGAGAAUCUUCCCCACCGAAUGCCCGAGGGUUCCGCAGCGAUGCUGAUCAACUGCGGGUGAGGCGGGCCUAAGCCGAGGCCGGAAGGCGUAGGCGAUGGACA
Molecule: ribosomal RNA, 340 nt
Filed under: Skeletonema costatum
Lineage: Eukaryota; Bacillariophyta; Thalassiosirophyceae; Thalassiosirales; Thalassiosiraceae
Description: partial Bacterial large subunit ribosomal RNA
Rfam family: Bacterial large subunit ribosomal RNA
Source: RNAcentral